Molecule: long non-coding RNA, 6609 nt
Filed under: Sus scrofa (pig)
Lineage: Eukaryota; Metazoa; Chordata; Mammalia; Artiodactyla; Suidae
Description: lncRNA (ENSSSCG00005014389.1)
Source: RNAcentral
AAAGCAUCUUUUAAAAAUAAAAUACAGUUACAACUACCUUAGUAGUUUAUAUUAGAACCAACCUAUCUCAGUAAUUUUUUGGUUGUUGUUAUUUUAGAAGGGGACCAGAAAAUCUGAAGAGAGAAUAUACUUCUUUCAAGAUGUCCCCAUAUGCGUGUUGUUUAUGUCAGAGUUAGAAUCAUAUUAAGAAUUAAAAUUAGUCAGACUAUCACAUUAAAAUUAAGAAGCAAAAAGAACACUGAAGUUCCAAUCUUAAAACAAUAGAGAGCUCAGAAAACAAACUAUUUUCUCACAAAAUAGUGUGAAAUCUGCUAGACUAAAAAUUCAGGAGCUAAAACCUUGCAUCCUGGUUGGUUAUCCUCUUCCAAUGACCUCAGGUAGAUUUUCUGUUGUCCUGCUUCCCCAGAGCCUCCUAUGCCACAGACAGUCCACUUCUGAAAUAACACUAAGCACUUAAGCCAGAACAUAAGGCCAGGCAGACACAGAAUGAAGAGAGGAAUUAAACCCAAUCUUAACUCAUUCAGGACCUAAUUUGUAAAUGAGUCCAGACUCCCCACAUGCCACCUUCUUCAGACACCUCACCUGGGGUCCACUUCACCACUCAUUAGCACCAAAGGAGGUUCAACUCAAACCAAAUGGGUUAGUCAGUAAUCAUCUAGUAAAAAGUUUGAUGAUAACUGACUGAAAUCAAGAGGGUGAAGUAGCAGGUUUAAAUUGACCUCUAAGAGUUCCCACUGGGGCACAAUAGGAUCUGCAGCAUCUUAGGAGCCCUGGGAUGCAGGUUCCAGCCCUGGCCUGCUACAGCCGGCUAAAGAUCCAGCGUUGCCACAGCUGUGGCUUAGGUCGUGACUGCAGCUCAGGCUCAGGUUUGACCCCUGGCCGGGGAGCUCCAUAUGCUGCCAGCAGCCAUAAAUAAAUAAACUAACAAACACACCUCCAGUGAUAACUGCUGUCUUUCAGGCACAGUGCUCACUCCCUCUUCCACCAAGUCUCAUCUCUCUUGCAGACACCAGAAAAACAGCUCAAUUCCCUAAAGCCAAGCACAGGCACUUCUCUGUGUCCUGUGAAAGAGGAAAACCAAACACAGGUGAAGGAAGCCCAAGGGUUUCCAUUUCUACGGCCAUUAAUCUGCAAAGAAGACCCCCAUUGUUUGCAAAUCACAGAAAGCAAAGAAAGGGAAAACAAUGUGAUAUCCCAAGGCUUUCAGAAUCAAAAAGGAUAGGCCAUUUCUGAACCAUGGGUCAAUCCUGAGACUUCUCUACUUAUUCACAAUAAAUUUAUUACAUUAAGUUCACGGAAGAUUUCAAAGCACCUUAUAAAAUAUUAUUGCUUCUACAUAUACCUCUGUAAAGAAAAGCAGUUUUAGCUUAAGAGGGACCUCUGCUUCCUCUUAAGAGAAACUUAAUGUCUCUCUAUCACAUUUCUUGCACAUAAAUACACGUUAAGAUACAAACCCUAUUCACUACACUGCAUCACAAGAGUUUUCAAAACAACAUUAAUUGGUUGAUCAAAAACUUAGAUAAAUCUGGAGUUCCAGUCGUGGCUCAGUGGUUAACAAAUCCGACUAGGAACCAUGAGGUUGCGGGUUCAAUCCCUGACUUGCUCAGUGGGUUAAGAAUCCGGCGUUGCUGUGAGCUGUGGUGCAGGCUGCAGACGAGGCUCAGAUCCCGCAUUGCUGUGGCUAUGGCGUAGGCCAGUGGCUACGGCUCCGAUGCGACCCCUAGCCUGGGAACCUCCAUAUGCCGCAGGAGCAGCCCUAGAAAAGGCAAAAAGACAAAAAAACAAAACAAAACAAAACAAAAAAAAAAAAACUUAGGAGUUCCCGUCAUGGAGCAGUGGUUAACGAAUCCGACUAGGAACCAUGAGGCUGCGGGUUCGAUCCCUGCACUUGCUCAGUGGGUUAACGAUCCGGCGUUGCCGUGAGCUGUGGUGUAGAUUGCAGACGCAGCUCGGAUCCUGCGUUGCUGUGGCUCUGGCGUAGGCUGGUGGCCACAGCUCUGAUUAGACCCCUAGCCUGGGAACCUCCAUAUGCCGCGGGAGCGGCCAAAGAAAUAGCAAAAAGACAAAAAAGAAAAAACUUAGAUAAAUCUAUUCCAUAGAGCAAUGUAAUCAUGCAGUUUGUUAAUGAUCCAGAAAAGGUUUGGUAGUGGUUAGUUAGAAUUAAACACUGAUCUAACUAGAUAAAAUGGAACUACGGUGAUAAUUUGAGAAUCUCAUGUAUCAGUACUUUGCUCUCCACGGAUGACACAGACCCGGCCGUCAGAGCCAUAAGAAUGUGAGGAGGAGGGAGAUGCAAAAUCAAACACAAGAAGGACACCGUAAAUCCCAAAAGGCUGGGAACGGAUGCUCCAGUAAGCCAUAAUGGAUAGACUCUGGGCAGCACCCCAAACCCACACCACUUAAUUUAUUCCCAAAUCCCUUAGAAUCAAAGCUGGGUAAGGAGUCAAAAUAACGUGUGCCACUUAAAUUCUCACUUCUGUCCCAGUAUGAAAAGUUACUACCAUUGGAAUAAGAUAAACUAUGAGCUUUCUUUUACAGAAAGCUGCUAUGUUUAUUCCAAGCAUUUCAAAUACUUCAGAAUUUAUUUCAUCAUUCAGAUAUGAGAAAAUUCUAACAGGUUAACUUCCUACACAGGAAACACAGACUGAGUUUCUCACUUCAUUGAAAAAGACAGCGAGAAGGGGUCAACCUAUUUGCAGGCAUUGGAAAAUGUGACCCGAGUUGAACCACAUUCAUCCACCUGGCUGUCCCCACGAUCUAAUCUCUUUAGACUUCUUUCUCUCAGAUAAGUUAAAUCCAGAUAGAAGUUUUUGAAGGCAUUCUUCACUAACACGACAGAUGUUAACACAUAAACUUUUUGAUAAUUUAACACUUCUACACAGUUAACUAUGACCACCUGAAAUGUCAGCUUGGGGCAUACAGGGUUUUCAUACACAGCAUCAGCCUAACUUCUUAGGACGCCUAUUUUGAUACUCUAAGCACGGGAGCUGAAUUUGUCCAUCUGGUUUUGUGGCUAAGAAGGUUGUCCGAGGCUUUUAAGAAACUGAUUUCUGGGUGAAGAUGGUCCUGUACAUUCUUAACAUACAGGUUACAUCAGGCCUGAUCAACUUUUCUGGAAUAUUAAAACUGUCCCGGUACCAACCUCCUCAUGGAGGACCUCGGACACCAUCAUUCGAUCAGCGCAGUCAUUAACCAUGCCAUGUGUGUCCCCAGGCCAGUAUCCUACGCUCUCAAAAAGCCAAAGAGGAAGGAGAGGUACGUAGGGUGACAACAACCUGGUGCUCAACGUAUGUUCUUAAUUUCCCUUGCCAGAGACUGAAAAUUAUACACAUAAAUACACACACACACACACACACACAUACCAGGUCUAACUGUCUCAGAAGUUUACUCUUCCAUUUGCUGUUUACAAGAAACAGGACAAUGAAAUACUCAGGAUGAAGUUAUGAACCCAAUGACAUCUGUGUAUUUCUAAGUAGAAUUUGAAAACACUGAGCAACAGUUUUAGAAAGCAGAUACCACAGGGUCUUUAGAACCUAGUGUCCAAACCAGUAACUAGCUGGAUCGACAUCUGAGACUUAAAAGGUUGAGACUAUCAUAAAAAUUAUUCAUGAAAAAUGGAGUUCCUGUUGUGGCUCCAUGGUUAACGAACCCGACUAGCAUCCAUGAGGACGCGGGUUCGGUCCCUGGCCUCCCUCAGUAGGUUAAGGAUCCAGCGUUGCCGUGAGCUGUGGUAUAGGUCAUAGACACAGCUCAGGUCCCACGAUGCUGUGGCUGUGGCAUAGGCCAGUGGCCACAGCUCCGAUUCGACUCCUAGCCUGGAAACCAUGGUCCAUGUGCCUUGGGUGAGGCCCUAAAAAAAAGACAAAAAAAUAAUAAUAAUUAUUAUUAUUCAUGAAAAAGGACAACUUCUUACAAUUCCCUUGUGGCACAGCGGGUUAAGGAUCCAGCAUUGUGAGUGCUACGGCUCAGGUCACUGCUAUGGCGCAGGUCUGAUCCCUGGCCCAGGAACUUCUCCAUAUCAUGAGCACACAAGCCACCCCCCUCCAAAAAAAAGCCAAGUUCUUAGGUUUAAUCAGACAUAAAUGGAUCUGAUACAACAAAAACUUUAAGCCAGCAGCUCUACUAUGCUAAUUCCAAACUGAGAGAAAAUGUCCAAGUAUUAAGACUACCCAAAAAAGGAAUAGCAGAAAUAAUAAUGAAAUAAUAAUACCUUUAUUAUACAUUUCCAAAUUCUUUCAUAUCCAUUAAAGUCUAAAUUAAGUCUUUAACUUUUAAAAAGUGAUAAAUUAAUAGCUUACACUGUAGUGUGUGUUAUCUUUAUCAAAGCUCUUUCACAUUCAUUCUGACUUUGUGCUUUUGAUUAAACAUAAUAACAGUGAGAAAGAUGUUCCAGUAAGUCCGUGUUAUCCGCACAGCACCUCGCACACCUACAGAAGAGGUUUUUUCACUCUACAACCUACUACAGCAUUACUACUGGAGGCUUUCCAUAACCACUACUUUUCAAUUCUAUUCUUAAAAUACUCUUUCUCUCAAGGUGGGUAUCCCUGACACCACACAAGUACAAAGACUUUUAUUCCUACUUACUGACAUCAGAAAAGUUAUAUUUGAUUCUACAUUAACCACAUUUAAAGGGAAAAUAGCAUAAUUUUUUAAAUCCACAUAUAACCCCAAAUUUUAAUCCUGACCCAUCCUUUUCUAUGAAAGCAAGAAAUCAAAUAGAACUGACCCACUGGUAUAGGCCCGAACAUGCCAAAAACAGAAGUUAAAGGGAAAAGAAAGCCCAAGUUUAUCAGACUUUGCAGUAAUUUAUGGAGAUACAGUAAUUAAUUCAAUGUUUCUGAGCAAUGAUUUUCUCUAAUUUUAACUGAGUGUGUAGUGGGCAUAUAACUCCUUGUUGUCCUGGAAUUCUUCCCUUUCUUUGGUUAAAAGCAUAUCAUCUUGCCUUGUGACUCUUCCAUUCUGUACAACUCUGUGGGACUGUCAACUGAGGGCAAUCCCACACUCACACACACACACACACACACACAGCCAAAGGGCAAAUUACUUAACAAGGCCAACUAUAUUCUCUCUCCAGGAAAACUAAAUCUUUUUUUUUUUUUUUAAUGGCCACAUCCACAGCAUAUGGAAGUUCCCAGGCCAGGGGUUGAAUCUGAGCCGAAGCUACCAGCCUACACCACAGCUAUGGCGAUACCGGAUCCUUUAAGCCACUGCAAUCAAACCUGCACCUCCCCGGCACCCCAAGCUGCUGCAGCUGGAUUCUUAACCCACUGCACCACAGAGGGAACCCCAGGAAAGCUAAAUCUUAUAACAGGAGAAUGGAAUCCGUUGGUGCCGUCUUUGAGACCAUGGCACCUGAAGGAGACUAUCAUUAGGCGGUUCCUGAAGCCUAGAUCCCCAAAGCUCCGAUUCUUGGCCUCCAAAGCCCUGAUGUUCAGCAUUUUCAACCUAUGUUAUGUUUAAGUGCUAUACCUCAAGUUCUGUAAUCCACCUUUUUCACUCAAUAAUAUACAAUGGGCAUCUUUCCAGAGUAGCUGCUAUAGAUCUACGUCAUCAUUUUCAGUGGCUACAUGCAAUGAAGGUAUCAAAAUCUACUUAAUCAAUUCCUUAAAAUUAUUCACUAUGUGACUGUACACAGUAAAUAGUUCUUUACUAUAUACAUAUAUCUUAACGAACUUUUCCUAUUAUUUUUUAGGAUAAAUUCCUAGACAUGAACUUGCUAGUUUAAAGGCUUUCAAAUCUUGAUUUAUAACGCAUUUGAUACAUUUUGAUACAUAAUAGUUUAGAACAUAUUUAGAACAAAUGCAUCAGUUUAUAUCUCUGCUAAGACCAAGAUCAUACAUUUCCCUUUAUCUUCACAGAACUGGAAAUCACUAUCAAUCAUCCUUAUUCCCAUUCCCAACUGGGCAAUGCCCAAAUAUUAAGACUACCAAGAGAAGGGAUACCAGAAGUAACCCUAAUAAUAUACUUUAUAUCAAGCUUUACCAAACUGUUUCACAUCUAGGAAGGCCUAAACUGAGUCCAAAUUAUACUGCCAAUGCAAUAAGUGAAAAAUGGUGUCUUACUUGGCUCAGGCUACCAUUAAAAAAUACCAUGGUUUAGGGUGGCUUAAGCAACAGAAAUUUAUUUCUCACAAUUCUGGAGGCUGAAAACUUCCAGAUAAAGAUGCCAACAAUGUAAAUUUCUCUCUGCCUGUAAGUGGCUGCCAUCUGGCUGUGCUCAUAUGACCUCUUCUUCGUACAUGGUGGGGGGGUGGAGAAUGAAGUGCUGUGGAGGGGGUUGGUGAGCCCUGCAGUGUCUGUCUCUUCCUAUUAAGGUAUUAAUCCACCUUGAGGGCUCCGUCCUAACCCUAAUUACCUCCCAAAGGCCCCAUCUUCAAAUAUCAUCACACUGGGGGUUAGGUCUUCAACCUAAGAAUUUGAGGAAGGAGUGACCAUUGUGGCACAGCAAAAUGAACCUGACUAGUACCCAUGUGGAUGCAGGUUCUAUCCCUGGCCUCACUCAGUGGGUCAAGGAUCCAGGGUGGUUGUGGUUGUGGCUGUGAUUCGACCCCCAGCGUGGGAACUUCCAUAUGUCACAGGUAUGGCCCUAAAAAAAGCAAAAAAAAAAAAA